Molecule: long non-coding RNA, 1129 nt
Organism: Gallus gallus (chicken)
Lineage: Eukaryota; Metazoa; Chordata; Aves; Galliformes; Phasianidae
Source: Ensembl
GAGGCUGAGGCUGAGGCUGAGGCUGAGGCUGAGGCUGAGGCUGAGGUUGAGGUUGAGGUUGAGGUUGAGGCUGAGGUUGUGCGGGGAGCCUUCUGUUACCGGGGCGGAAUAGGAUAGCUCGGUUGAAAGGGAGCUGCUUCAAUGAUCAUCAAAUCCAGUCUUCAGGACUAGCCAGGAAUUGAAGAGUAUUAAUGAGGAAGUUAUCCAUUUGGAUAUGCCUUCUGAACGCUGACAGGCGUGGGGCAUCAGCCUCCUCAGUAGGAAGCCUGUGGCCGCCCUCACGGUACAGAAACUUCUCCUGUUGUCCACUCGACCUCCCCAGCACAGCUUUGUGCUAUUCCACCACGUUCUGACACCAUUUCCCAAGGGGUAGAGCCUGGCACCUCUCUGCAAUGACAGCAUCGUAACUCUGAAACAGUGGUCACCUCCGUGGUGCAGAUUCUUACAAGCACAGCAUGCAGAAAUAAAUGGGAGGCGUUACUUCUGGAGUGACCUGUGUAUAUGCAGCCCAAGGCAAUUACCCUCCACUCAGUGCAGUCCAGGAAAGCUGAAAGGUUGGAUGCUCACGCUUUAGAGGCAUUGAUGGUUCAGGCUGCAGUCCCUCCCAGGGUCACUGAAGCACCUGUAAAUCCAUAUUGCUUCAAAGUGGAGAAUCUCAUUCUCACUGUUCCAUCACUGCUUACACUCAUUUUCCUAGGACUUGGGUGGUUAUGCAGUGAGCUAGCUCAGGCAACAAGUCCCGCUGAAAUUAACCCAAAGCAAAAAAGGUUACUUUUGAAUAGCCUCACUUCUACAACCCUAGUUAUUAAUUGAGUGGGACCACCACUACUGUCUCAUUUAGCUUCUAAUCUAGAAUUCAGACAAAAUACCCAGUAGUGGCACUGUUUAUUGAUCCAAAGUGGCACCAUUAUUAUCGUGAUGUAGUAAGUAAAAAUAUAUCCCUUUUUCAGCAAUUUAAAAUGGUUAAGAAUAUCUAUGUUGACUGAAACUGUGGGACUACAAUGCCUGGUUUUUUCAGGUAUGACUUGUAAAAAGUAGGAUAGAAUCCUGGACUUGUAUAUGUGCAGAUAAAAAACUGUUAGAAGAUGAUUGAACAGCUCUGUCCAGCUUUUCAGGCCUAUCAGCAUCC